GUCCACGCUGUAAACGAUGGGCGCUAGGUGUGGGGGGUUUUUAAUCCCUCCGUGCCGCAGCUAACGCAUUAAGCGCCCCGCCUGGGGAGUACGGCCGCAAGGUUAAAACUCAAAGGAAUUGACGGGGGCCCGCACAAGCGGUGGAGCAUGUGGUUUAAUUCGACGCAACGCGAAGAACCUUACCUGGGCUUGACAUGUGGGGAAUCUCAUGGAAACAUGGGAGUGCGUAGCAAUACGAACCCCAGCACAGGUGCUGCAUGGCUGUCGU
RNAcentral lists this ribosomal RNA (268 nucleotides) under uncultured bacterium. RNAcentral's name for it is "partial 16S ribosomal RNA". It matches the Rfam family "Bacterial small subunit ribosomal RNA", at positions 793 to 1055 of the family's 1533-position model. The record is from RNAcentral.